UAGGGAAUCUUCCACAAUGGGCGAAAGCCUGAUGGAGCAACGCCGCGUGUGUGAUGAAGGGUUUCGGCUCGUAAAACACUGUUGUAAGAGAAGAAUGACAUUGAGAGUAACUGUUCAUACGUUGACGGUAUUUAACCAGAAAGUCACGGCUAACUACGUGCCAG
RNAcentral lists this ribosomal RNA (164 nucleotides) under uncultured bacterium. Its description in RNAcentral is "partial 16S ribosomal RNA". It matches the Rfam family "Bacterial small subunit ribosomal RNA", at positions 355 to 511 of the family's 1533-position model. The record is from RNAcentral.